Molecule: ribosomal RNA, 460 nt
Filed under: uncultured bacterium
Lineage: Bacteria
Description: partial 16S ribosomal RNA
Rfam family: Bacterial small subunit ribosomal RNA
Source: RNAcentral
CCUACGGGAGGCAGCAGUGAGGAAUAUUGGUCAAUGGACGCAAGUCUGAACCAGCCAUGCCGCGUGCAGGAAGACGGCUCUAUGAGUUGUAAACUGCUUUUGUACGAGGGUAAACGCAGAUACGUGUACCUGUCUGAAAGUAUCGUACGAAUAAGGAUCGGCUAACUCCGUGCCAGCAGCCGCGGUAAUACGGAGGAUUCGAGCGUUAUCCGGAUUUAUUGGGUUUAAAGGGUGCGUAGGCGGUCGGAUAAGUUAGAGGUGAAAGCCCGAGGCUCAACUUCGGAAUUGCAUCUGAUACUGUUAGGCUAGAGAGUAGUUGCGGUAGGCGGAAUUCAUGGUGUAGCGGUGAAAUGCUUAGAGAUCAUACAGAACACCGAUUGCGAAGGCAGCUUACCAAGCUACUACUGACGUUGAGGCACGAAAGCGUGGGGAGCAAACAGGAUUAGAUACCCCAGUAGUC